RNAcentral lists this ribosomal RNA (490 nucleotides) under uncultured bacterium. RNAcentral describes it as "partial 16S ribosomal RNA". It matches the Rfam family "Bacterial small subunit ribosomal RNA", at positions 30 to 507 of the family's 1533-position model. The record is from RNAcentral.
AUUGAACGCUGGCGGCAGGCCUAACACAUGCAAGUCGAACGGUAACAGGAAGAAGCUUGCUUCUUUGCUGACGAGUGGCGGACGGGUGAGUAAUGUCUGGGAAACUGCCUGAUGGAGGGGGAUAACUACUGGAAACGGUAGCUAAUACCGCAUAACGUCGCAAGACCAAAGAGGGGGACCUUCGGGCCUCUUGCCAUCGGAUGUGCCCAGAUGGGAUUAGCUAGUAGGUGGGGUAACGGCUCACCUAGGCGACGAUCCCUAGCUGGUCUGAGAGGAUGACCAGCCACACUGGAACUGAGACACGGUCCGGACUCCUACGGGAGGCAGCAGUGGGGAAUAUUGCACAAUGGGCUCAAGCCUGAUGCAGCCAUGCCGCGUGUAUGAAGAAGGCCUUCGGGUUGUAAAGUACUUUCAGCGGGGAGGAAGGGAGUAAAGUUAAUACCUUUGCUCAUUGACGUUACCCGCAGAAGAAGCACCGGCUAACUCCGUG